This 271-nucleotide ribosomal RNA is filed under the name Pseudomonas aeruginosa. RNAcentral describes it as "partial 23S ribosomal RNA". It matches the Rfam family "Bacterial large subunit ribosomal RNA", at positions 1729 to 1980 of the family's 2925-position model. The record is from RNAcentral. Lineage: Bacteria; Pseudomonadati; Pseudomonadota; Gammaproteobacteria; Pseudomonadales; Pseudomonadaceae.
CGUAACUUUGGGAUAAGGGGGACCUGAGCUGUCGUGCACCCGUGCGGUGUGGUGGCGGUGAGGGGCGCAGAGUCCAGGGGGAAACGACUGUUUACCAAAAACACAGGUCCGUGCGAAGUCGUAAGACGAUGUAUACGGACUGACUCCUGCCCGGUGCUGGAAGGUUAAGGGGAACUGUGAGUGUAUGCGUAGCGGUGAACUUAAGCCCCAGUAAACGGCGGUGGUAACUAUAACCAUCCUAAGGUAGCGAAAUUCCUUGUCAGAUCGGAAG